ACAUCCAGAGAACUUGGCAGAGAUGCCUUGGUGCCUUCGGGACCUCUGAGACAGGUGCUGCAUGGCUGUCGUCAGCUCGUGUUGUGAAAUGUUGGGUUAAGUCCCGNAACGAGCGCAACCCCUAUCCUUUGUUGCCAGCGAUUCGGUCGGGAACUCAAAGGAGACUGCCGGUGAUAAACCGGAGGAAGGUGGGGAUGACGUCAAGUCAUCAUGGCCCUUACGAGUAGGGCUACACACGUGCUACAAUGGCGCAUACAAAGAGAAGCGACCUCGCGAGAGCAAGCGGACCUCAUAAAGUGCGUCGUAGUCCGGAUCGGAGUCUGCAACUCGACUCCGUGAAGUCGGAAUCGCUAGUAAUCGUAGAUCAGAAUGCUACGGUCGAAUACGUUCCCGGGCCUUGUACACACCGCCCGUCACACCAUGGGAGUGGGUUGCAAAAGAAGUAGAUAGCUUAACCUUCGGGAGGGCGUUUACCACUUUGUGAUUCAUGACUGGGGUGAAGUCGUAACAAGGUAAGCGUAGCGAG
This 526-nucleotide ribosomal RNA is filed under the name uncultured bacterium. RNAcentral's name for it is "bacterial SSU rRNA". It matches the Rfam family "Bacterial small subunit ribosomal RNA", at positions 984 to 1509 of the family's 1533-position model. The record is from RNAcentral.